RNAcentral lists this long non-coding RNA (510 nucleotides) under Mytilus galloprovincialis (Mediterranean mussel). Lineage: Eukaryota; Metazoa; Mollusca; Bivalvia; Mytilida; Mytilidae. The record is from RNAcentral.
AAAAUUGUAAUAAUAAAAAUUGUAAUAAUAAUAAAUAACUCUAUUAUAUUGACAACGAUGUAUGAACAACACCAAAAGACAUAAUAUGAGAUAAAUAUAAAAAAAAUAAAGUGGUACAAAAGUCAAAGUAUGAAUUAAACAUAAGGACGGUCAUUAGGCCUAAGUAUAGGUGGUAGGCAAAUACAGAUUAGAAACAGCACGAAUUAUUAAUUAAAAAAAGUAUUUGUAACAUGUUGACUACUUCAUUCCGUGUUUGUCAUGAUUUCAGAUCAAAAAGCUAUUCUGCAAAUAUUUCAAAACACUAUUUAUGGAAUUGUUUUUAAAGACUUUUCUUGUUUAUUCAAUACGAAUGACUCUAUGUUCUUAACAUAAUACGAAUGACUCUAUGUUCUUAACAUGAUACGAAUAAAAGCAAUUGAGGCAUGUAUAAUGAAAUAAUUCGACUACAUCUAUGAAAUGUGUGAUAUAAACGUUAUGUAUUGUAAAUAUCUUCCAUGAAAAGUGAAACCG